GAUGAACGCUGGCGGCGUGCCUAAUACAUGCAAGUCGAGCGAACAGACGAGGAGCUUGCUCCUCUGACGUUAGCGGCGGACGGGUGAGUAACACGUGGAUAACCUACCUAUAAGACUGGGAUAACUUCGGGAAACCGGAGCUAAUACCGGAUAACAUGUUGAACCGCAUGGUUCAACAGUGAAAGACGGUCUUGCUGUCACUUAUAGAUGGAUCCGCGCCGCAUUAGCUAGUUGGUAAGGUAACGGCUUACCAAGGCAACGAUGCGUAGCCGACCUGAGAGGGUGAUCGGCCACACUGGAACGGAGACACGGUCCAGACUCCUACGGGAGGCAGCAGUAGGGAAUCUCCCGCAAUGGGCGAAAGCCUGACGGAGCAACGCCGCGUGAGUGAAGAAGGUCUUCGGAUCGUAAAACUCUGUUAUUAGGGAAGAACAAAUGUGUAAGUAACUAUGCACGUCUUGACGGUACCUAAUCAGAAAGCCACGGCUAACUACGUG
Molecule: ribosomal RNA, 497 nt
Filed under: uncultured bacterium
Lineage: Bacteria
Description: partial 16S ribosomal RNA
Rfam family: Bacterial small subunit ribosomal RNA
Source: RNAcentral